This 500-nucleotide ribosomal RNA is filed under the name uncultured bacterium. Its description in RNAcentral is "partial 16S ribosomal RNA". It matches the Rfam family "Bacterial small subunit ribosomal RNA", at positions 30 to 523 of the family's 1533-position model. The record is from RNAcentral.
AUUGAACGCUGGCGGCAUGCCUUACACAUGCAAGUCGAACGGCAGCACGGACUUCGGUCUGGUGGCGAGUGGCGAACGGGUGAGUAAUACAUCGGAACGUGCCCAGUAAUGGGGGAUAACGCAGCGAAAGUUGUGCUAAUACCGCAUACGCCCUGAGGGGGAUAGUGGGGGAUCGCAAGACCUCAUGUUAUUGGAGCGGCCGAUGGCUGAUUAGCUAGUUGGUGAGGUAAAGGCUCACGAAGGCGACGAUCAGUAGCCGUUCUGAGAGGACGACGCGCCACACUGGGACUGAGCCACGGCCCAGACUCCUACGGGAGGCAGCAGUGGGGAAUGUUGGACAAUGGGCUAAAGCCUGAUCCAGCAAUGCCGCGGGUGCGAAGAAGGCCUUCGGGUUGUAAAGCACUUUUGUCAGGGAAGAAAACUGUUUGGCUAAUACCCGAAUAGGAUGGCGGUACCUGAAGAAUAAGCACCGGCUAACUACGUGCCAGCCGCCGCGGUAA